This 73-nucleotide transfer RNA is filed under the name Fibrobacterales bacterium. Its description in RNAcentral is "tRNA-Ala". It matches the Rfam family "tRNA". From Rfam's summary of the family: Transfer RNA (tRNA) molecules are approximately 80 nucleotides in length. Their secondary structure includes four short double-helical elements and three loops (D, anti-codon, and T loops). Lineage: Bacteria; Pseudomonadati; Fibrobacterota; Fibrobacteria; Fibrobacterales. The record is from RNAcentral.
GGGGCUAUAGCUCAGUUGGUAGAGCACGUCGCUGGCAGCGACGGGGUCAGGAGUUCGAAUCUCCUUAGCUCCA